GGUAGUGUGGCUUAGUGAUUGAGUGCUUGCCUAGCAUGCAUGAAGCCCUGGGUUCGAUUCCUCACUACCA
Molecule: transfer RNA, 70 nt
Filed under: Dipodomys ordii (Ord's kangaroo rat)
Lineage: Eukaryota; Metazoa; Chordata; Mammalia; Rodentia; Heteromyidae
Rfam family: tRNA
About the family: Transfer RNA (tRNA) molecules are approximately 80 nucleotides in length. Their secondary structure includes four short double-helical elements and three loops (D, anti-codon, and T loops).
Source: Rfam by way of RNAcentral